RNAcentral lists this ribosomal RNA (433 nucleotides) under uncultured bacterium. Its description in RNAcentral is "partial 16S ribosomal RNA". It matches the Rfam family "Bacterial small subunit ribosomal RNA", at positions 29 to 507 of the family's 1533-position model. The record is from RNAcentral.
AGCGAACGCUGGCGGCAGGCUUAACACAUGCAAGUCGAACGCAUCCUUCGGGGUGAGUGGCAGACGGGUGAGUAACACGUGGGAACGUACCCUUCGAUCUGGGAUAACUUCGGGAAACUGGAGCUAAUACCGGAUACGCCCUUUUGGGGAAAGGUUUACUGUCGAAGGAUCGGCCCGCGUCUGAUUAGCUAGUUGGUGGGGUAACGGCCUACCAAGGCGACGAUCAGUAGCUGGUCUGAGAGGAUGAUCAGCCACACCGGGACUGAGACACGGCCCAGACUCCUACGGGAGGCAGCAGUGGGGAAUAUUGGACAAUGGGCGCAAGCCUGAUCCAGCCAUGCCGCGUGAGUGAUGAAGGCCUUAGGGUUGUAAAGCUCUUUUGUCCGGGACGAUAAUGACGGUACCGGAAGAAUAAGCCCCGGCUAACUUCGUG